Non-coding RNA from Podarcis lilfordi (Lilford's wall lizard), 532 nucleotides. The record is from the annotation of a GenBank genome assembly. Lineage: Eukaryota; Metazoa; Chordata; Lepidosauria; Squamata; Lacertidae.
CGGCCACACCGGGCGCAACAUCUGGGGGUUAGGGUUAGGGGGCGCAAAUCCACAGGUUAGGGGGCGCAAAUUACUUGCCUUGCCCCGGGUGCUGACAACCCACGCUACGCCACUGGGGAGGAGGAACCCAGAACAAUGGUGCACAAGCCCUUAUAUAGACUUUUGAAAUUGCCACCCUGUAGCCCAAGACCACCCCCCCACACACACAAUACAUCAUACAUACAUCACAGAAGGGGCAGUCUACAACAGAAUCCUGUCUGGCAGGAAACCUGUUAAUGGGUUUACCUGGCUGUUAAUGGGUUUACAUGGAGAGCCUGGCCAUUCUUUUGUGAUGAUAAAUACUUAAUUCCUGAGUCCAGGUCACAGGCUCACCCUAUUCAUACCCAAAUGUGCCCUUAAGGCAGCAUUUGUGAGCACAGAGACAAUGGGGAGGCUUUUCCCAUUUCCAUCCAAACUGCAGAGGAAUAUCUGAGGUCAAUGAAAGAGUCAAAAUGGCUUUAGGACUGUUUUCCUGUACUGUUUCAGACAUGUG